UUUUAUGAUGCAUAAUUUUAAUUUUUCAUAAAAGACACAUGCAUAAAUAACAUAUAUAAAUAAUGAUAUUUUUUUUACAUAUUUACUUUUAACAAUUUAUAUUAGUAAUAAUUUUUAUAACAAUAACAUACAUAAAUUGAGGUGGUUAAAUAGUUUUAUCUACAGGUAAUACAAUACAAUGUUAUUAAAGUAUCUUGCAUACAAUACAGUUUUGAUACUAUAGGCCAAUGGUCUCAACUUGUAAAGAAGCAAUAUUUUCAUUUUUUUUAAUUUUCUAAAUUGUAAUAAAAAUACCUGUAUGUGAUACUUUCAGAGAUAAAUUGUGUAAAAAUUUACUCAAAUUUUCUUUUCUUCUUUAAUUUUUUUUAUCUUCUGCACAGAUAUAUCCAAUCUUGUAGUUUCAAAAGAUAAAUAUUUUGCAAAGAUAUUUGGAUAUCUUCUUUAUAUAACUUUGCUUUUAAACUGUGUAACAGUUCUUGAAAAAAAAAAUCAUAUUAAUUAGAUUACAUGAUUUUCGAAGAAAAACACUGCAUUUUUG
RNAcentral lists this long non-coding RNA (538 nucleotides) under Mytilus galloprovincialis (Mediterranean mussel). Lineage: Eukaryota; Metazoa; Mollusca; Bivalvia; Mytilida; Mytilidae. The record is from RNAcentral.